CCCCUGAGACCCCCGGCGGCCGCUUCCGGAAGAGCGGUCGGCGGCCAUGUUUGAUGGGGGGGGUCUUUCACGUGCACUUCCGGCUGCGGACCCCCAGAAAUCAGUUUAAGAACUGGACGAAGAAUGCCUGCCGUCCUUCUCAAAUGAGCCUUUGGACUGACAUUUUCUGUCUAAACACAGGAAUACAAAGGUACGAAAUGAGCAUUGGAAAGCCCAGCCCCACUCAGCCGUCUUGGUGACUCACUCCAACAGUCACGUGAUCUCACGGUUGUAGCAUCCUCAGGGCUCCCGGGGUGGUCUUUCUGCUCUUUGGCUCCAUCUGCCUCACUCCCUGGCGCCUUCAGCUCGGCACACCCCAGCCAGAUUCGAGGCCAGGGCUGGGGAUGUCAGGGUGAGUCCCUAGAAGACAAACCCCCUGAGGGCAGGGGCUGUCUGUUCUACGUGUGUGUCCAGCACUUGGCACAGUUUAUCUGCAUAAAGCAAGUGCUUAAUUAAUGCCCCCCCCCCAUUCAUUCAUGUUCCUCACUUGCUUUUUUGUGUUUGCUCUUGUUGAAUCAUUUCAGUCGUUUCUGACUCUUCUUGACCCCACUGGGGGUUCUCUUGGCAGGGAUACUGGAGUGGUUUGCCAUGUCCUUCUCCAGCUCAUUUUACAGAGGGGGAAACUGAGGUUAACAGGGUAGAAGUGACUUGCCUAGGGUCACACAGCUAGUAAGUGUCUAAGGCCAGGUUUGAACUCAGGUCCUCCUGACUCAAGGCCCAGUGCUCCAUCCACCGCACUACCUAGCUACUCCCCCCCCCACUACCUUUCCUCUAAUACCUUUUGAAAGCAGAGAAAAUCUUCCCAGCCGUAUCUGCUGUCAUUUCUGGCCUGCCUUCUCUUUCCCUCCUGACAGAUACACCAACGAUGAGGACAAUCUUUAGCCCCCCCUUCUCUCCUCAAAGUCUGGCCUCCAGUCUACUUCCCAUUGUCCCUUCCUCAUCCUGGCUUGGGCCAAGACCCCGGCUUUUCUAAAGACUUCCACUAAGGGAAAAUUAUGAAUGACUGAAUGAAUGAAAAAGCACUUCUUAACUGCUUACAAGGUACAAAAGCUCCCUUCCAGUAUUUUGGUUUGGCUUAAACUAGGGUCCUGUAAGGGGUACAUGAGCUUGGAUGGGAAAUAUAGAUAGAUAGAUAGAUAGAUAGACAGACAGACAGACAGACAGGUAUCUUUAUUUUCCCCAAACUUUAACUGAAAAUAU
This 1239-nucleotide long non-coding RNA is filed under the name Phascolarctos cinereus (koala). RNAcentral's name for it is "lncRNA (ENSPCIG00000035574.1)". Lineage: Eukaryota; Metazoa; Chordata; Mammalia; Diprotodontia; Phascolarctidae. The record is from RNAcentral.